Molecule: ribosomal RNA, 718 nt
Filed under: uncultured fungus
Lineage: Eukaryota; Fungi
Description: SSU rRNA
Rfam family: Eukaryotic small subunit ribosomal RNA
Source: RNAcentral
CCUCAGCUCUGUUUCUGUUGGUUUUCAGAACCGAGGUAAUGAUUAAUAGGGACAGUUGGGGGCAUUAGUACUGCAGUGUCAGAGGUGAAAUUCUUGGAUUUCUGCAAGACUAACUUCUGCGAAAGCAUUUGCCAAGGAUGUUUUCAUUAAUCAAGAACGAAAGUUAGGGGAUCGAAGACGAUUAGAUACCGUCGUAGUCUUAACCAUAAACUAUGCCGACUUGGGAUUGGACGAUGUUUUAUUGACUCGUUCAGCACCAUAAGAGAAAUCAAAGUUUUUGGGUUCCGGGGGGGGUAUGGUCGCAAGGCUGAAACUUAAAGGAAUUGACGGAAGGGCACCACCAGGAGUGGAAUCUGCGGCUUAAUUUGACUCAACACGGGGAAACUCACCAGGUCCAGACAUAAUAAGGAUUGACAGAUUGAGAGCUCUUUCUUGAUUUUAUGGGUGGCGGAGCAUGGCCGUUUUUAGUUGGUGGAGUGAUUUGUCUGGUUAAUUCCGAUAACGAACGAGACCUUAACCUGCUAAAUAGUCCAGCCAAGUUUGACUUGGUUCGGACUUCUUAGAGGGACUACGGAUGUUUAAUCCGUGGAAGUUUGAGGCAAUAACAGGUCUGUGAUGCCCUUAGAUGUUCUGGGCCGCACGCGCGUUACACUGAUGAAGGCAAUAAGUUUUCACCUUGGCCGGAAGGUCUGGGUAAUCUUUUGAAACUUCAUCGUGC